AGCAGCCGCCACGGUAAUACGUAGGUGGCAAGCGUUGUCCGGAAUUAUUGGGCGUAAAGCGCGCGCAGGCGGAUAGGUCAGUCUGUCUUAAAAGUUCGGGGCUUAACCCCGUGAUGGGAUGGAAACUGCCAAUCUAGAGUAUCGGAGAGGAAAGUGGAAUUCCUAGUGUAGCGGUGAAAUGCGUAGAUAUUAGGAAGAACACCAGUGGCGAAGGCGACUUUCUGGACGAAAACUGACGCUGAGGCGCGAAAGCCAGGGGAGCGAACGGGAUUAGAGACCCGCGUAGUCCCUGUCUCUUAUACA
RNAcentral lists this ribosomal RNA (303 nucleotides) under uncultured bacterium. Its description in RNAcentral is "partial 16S ribosomal RNA". It matches the Rfam family "Bacterial small subunit ribosomal RNA", at positions 507 to 809 of the family's 1533-position model. The record is from RNAcentral.